CACAAUUAUGUCUUUCUUAAUUUAAUUUUUCGGAAUCUGUUUUAAUAAAUUGUAAACCUCGAUAAAUAAUUUAUUGAAUAUUUUAUAUUGUUUUAAAAUCGGUCUCUCGUCUCCGGGGGAAUAUCCGGUGGUUUUUACGGUGCAUCGUAUAUAAUACGAAUCGAUUCUUCCUCGACAACACGGUGCACUGAAGCGCAAACAGCUGCGGAUAACGUACACGAUGGUCUGCUAUUAUACGAGAAAGAAGUAAGUAAUUUCAACAGUUUACUCUGAAAUCUAGCUCUGCUAAAAUAUCGUUGCAACAUAAUUUCAUCCACUUCUUUCAUUUCAUUAUUAGCUAAAUUGGACGAAAUGCAAUACUCCUGAUGAGAUAAAAUGUGGAGAAGACUGCCAAAAGUGAAGUUUGUGAAAUAACAUCCAUAGAAAGCAAACAAUCAGUUUACAAACAUUAUUAAUAAAAUCAAUGCUUUCUGCAAAGAAAAUUUUGAGUCACGCAGCCAGAAGAGACUUUUCGCUUUGACUUGUUAGAGGAAACAAUGUGCAAGUAUCGUUCCGUCUGAACGAGACUUGAGCCCGAUCGCUGCGUACAUGCGUCGUAGGUGGAAACCGAGGGUGGUUCGCCUCGAAACAAUCGACUCUUUGCGCUCAUCGGAUCUGGCCGCAGCGACAUUGCGCGCGGAGGACAAUAGAUCCCCGGGUUCGAUCGAGGAUGCCAUUUAUGGCAAAUGCCGUCAGCAGGCAAGUCGUCCCUGUCCUCGAGCAGCUGUCCCGCACACGGUUUUGCGAAUGCGAACAGGCGCACUGUCGAUUCGACGCUUACCAUCGGUUGAGCGUCGACUCGAGACGAUUUGAAGAAGGAAGAAAAAAGAGAAGCCAACCGAGAAAACGACGCGAAUUGACACGAGAUAUCACUUCCGGCGCGACUGGGAGAUCAAGCGAUUGCCGGGACGAUAAGCUAGAGGGGACUCUUCAUCUCACGAGCGUGUCGGCGUGUCAGCUUUUCGGAGUGUCAUGCGGCUGAUAAGACGACGUCGGCGCGCUUUUGUCUUCCUCCUCGUGUCACGCCGAGUCGAGAGCCGGGAGGGCCUGCGCUCGCCAUCUGGCGUACCUCUUUCAAUGCUCCGAGCGACCGCGAAACUCCAUCGGUAGCGACAGCGACGUACCCACACCUCAUCGAUAAUUAUUAUUAGUCGGAAUACUUAGGUGCAUUAUACUGUAUUACUUGUAACACGUGUAAUGCAUCACGCAUAAUUUUAAGUUGCAUUUAAGUUUCAAGCGACAAUUUAGUUGCAAGCGAUAAAAACAAGUGAUAGACAAGUGUCGAAGUCUCUCGUUCAAGUAAAUCGAUAUUUCGAUAUUUUAAAAGAAAAUUUUGUAUUUUUAUUAAAUUCGAGAUUUUUCUAUUAAACUAGAGAUUAUAUUAAAUUAGAGAUUCCUCCAAAGACUCCAAAUUUACAUUCGGCCAAAAGAUUGCAGCGAUUAUAUGACAUCGACAGAAGCAUACCUUUUAAUUUUUUAAUUAUUAAAUCGAGAAUUAUUUAUUUAUGUCGAGAAUUAUAAUUAAUUUUGAGGAGAAUCUUAUUUUCUCGAGCGGGAGAGUGACACAAACAGGCACUCAUCGGGCACUUUCAAAUGCCAAAAUUUUAGAAAGACAACAAUGAACAAUCGAUCACACAGCCCGUUUCCUUUGCUUUACUCGUAUAUUUAGUGCGACACGUGUCAUGAGAUUCGCGAUUGGCGCAUCAGACCUUUAUCGAACAUUUAUCGCCAACGCGGUUAUUAAUCACGCGCAUUAGCACGCUCAGCAUGCCUUCGCACUCUCGUGACAGAGAAAUUUCCUCUGUGCCGUAGCGCGAUACGAUCUUGAAAAAUCUUCCACGGUACCGCAAUUAACUGCACGUUGUAUAACGUCGACGCGUCUAAAGCCUCAUCCACGCCGUAUAUAUUUUCACCGGAGCAUCCUCAGAAUUUUUUUGGCGCCGCGCAAUUUACGAUCAAUCGGCCUUAUGAUCAUCUUCCUGCGCCACAUUAUUCGCCGAAUGCAUUUUGUGAGAUCUAAUCUCUCUCUUUCGUACGAACGAUUAAUCUUGAUCUUUCUAACAGAUAAUCGUUCGUCAUUAAAAUGUUCCGAUUCAAUGGAUGAAACUGGGACGAAAGCUGAUCCUCACGCGACGUCGCAUUUCCAAUCCCGAAUUCUAAUCGCUUCUAUUUUGGAACGCGGUCGCCGACUAUCGGGCGAUGCUCCCGUCAAUUGAAAAUCAAUGGCAUGCAAGUGGAACGGCUGGAGGUGCGUUUUCCACGUCGAGGAAAAACCUUGCCAGUCUCUUGAUGCGAUCAUCCUCUCGCAAUGAGAGACGAAGAAAAGCGGAUUCGCGUGCGACUGCUACGUACGAUCGGAUUGUUGUCUCGUCCAGGAGACGUUGUCGCAUUUCUCGAUUUCACGUUGUGUCCGGAUGAACCGGCGUAUCGAUCUGAUUAUUACCGUCCCGAGCUCGCGACAGCCCCGUGUGACAGUUAAAUGUGCCAGCUAGUGCCGGGUAGUAGUAUUGGCGAAAUGCCGCGUGGACUAAAUCCGAACGAUUAUAAGCGACAUUCGAGAAGAUGAUUAUACGUUGCAUCUACGUCCACACAUGCUCACAAAUAUAAUAUUAUAUAUCUAGUGGCAUCGUCAAAUAUAAGCGCGCCCGAUCA
Long non-coding RNA from Ooceraea biroi (clonal raider ant), 2691 nucleotides. RefSeq lists it as uncharacterized. The record is from RefSeq and is a predicted model, not a curated record. NCBI's taxonomy places the organism in Eukaryota, Metazoa, Arthropoda, Insecta, Hymenoptera, Formicidae.